RNAcentral lists this ribosomal RNA (253 nucleotides) under uncultured bacterium. RNAcentral's name for it is "partial 16S ribosomal RNA". It matches the Rfam family "Bacterial small subunit ribosomal RNA", at positions 524 to 776 of the family's 1533-position model. The record is from RNAcentral.
UACGAAGGUCCCAAGCGUUGUUCGGAAUCACUGGGCGUAAAGGGAGCGUAGGCGGCGUGGUAAGUCAGAUGUGAAAUCCCGGGGCUCAACCCCGGAACUGCAUCCGAUACUGCCAUGCUUGAGGGUUGGAGAGGUAGCUGGAAUUCUCGGUGUAGCAGUGAAAUGCGUGGAUAUCGAGAGGAACACUCGUGGCGAAGGCGAGCUACUGGACAACAUCUGACGCUGAGGCUCGAAGGCCAGGGGAGCGAAAGGG